Molecule: non-coding RNA, 5054 nt
Organism: Zonotrichia albicollis (white-throated sparrow)
Lineage: Eukaryota; Metazoa; Chordata; Aves; Passeriformes; Passerellidae
Source: RefSeq, a predicted model, not a curated record
CAUUGCUGCCCAGGGAUGUCCUGAAUUCUGACAGAGCUCAUUGCUGCCCAGGGAUGGCAGUGCUCCCUGCUGUGAGGGGCAAUCCUGAGCCUCUCUGUGCAGAGCUCUGAGCAGGCUCUGGCAGCAUUUCCCUGGCUCCAAACCCGGGGCACACGGUGCAGGGAGCUGGGCUGAGCUGGCAGUGGGCAGGGGAUGCUCGGGGCUGGCUCUGGCCACAGCACUCAGCACUGUCCCUGCUCCUGCUCACAUUCCAGGCUUUUUCUCUGCCCAGGAAGCACGGGAGCUUUGCUGUGCUCCAUAUGCAGUUCUUCAGCAAGAGGUCGUACAUGAGAGAGCUGCAUCUUUUGUGACAGUUGUAGCUCUAAAUAGGAAAUGAUUAAUAUUUCAUGGUUAUUUUUCUGUAAGACAUGAUUCUUGGGAGAAUGCAUCAGCCUGACUUUGCUGGAGAGAAUGAGCCUGCCUUGCUGAGCUUCAAAUGAAAAUGUAGUCAGGCACUGCAUGCUAAUAUUGCUGCUUUAGCUGGAAGCUCUCUGUGUGCCUGACUAAUGCCAGUGCCACAGUGCACUUUUGGAAACUUCUCUUUCCCUCAUCAGUCUUCCCAGUCAUCUGCUACUCUGCCUUUGCCUUCUGCACCUUCAGUCUAGUUUUAAAUAGCACAAGAGGUCAUGAAUGUCAGCUGACUGCAUCAACUGCAAAAUCUUUGACUCUAAUCUUUCCUUCUUUAUUCGCUUAUUUUUUCCUUUCUUGAGUCAUAAGCAAACCACUUCAAAAUAUUUCAGGGUUGCACCAGAGGACAGCAAACAAUUGGUCAAGGAAACAUUCUUGUCUCUUUUUGAUGUGGCUUCCUGUGAAGGUGGCUUUUUAAAUGCUUCUAAAUAACAAAUAUUGGCAAAUAGCUUACAGAACUUUUGUUCAUAUAACAUUAAUGGAAUGGUCACAGGGUUACUGUCAUUCAGCAGUGAGGUCACCAAGGCUUUGACUGCCCUGGACUGCUACAAGAAAGUCUGCAGGAAGAUUAUGGAAAGUUUGACAGCCAGGACACAGCUUUUUCCAGCUGGCCAAUGAAACCAAACAAUCCUCAGCAGAAUCCAAUUGCCCAAUCACUUCAGGAAAAAGAACUGAGAGAGCCCAGCCAGCAGGGGCCCCACAAAGCUUCUGUACCAACAGGCUUCAUUGCACUGGGGGAAACCAAGGAGAAUCCACCUCAGCAAACAGACUGGUCCUGGCUCCCUGAUCCAAAGUAAGCAUCAGCAACCUGGAAUGGCUGGGUUUGGUUUGUUUGUGUGUUUUUCAUACAAUAGCAUCCUGAAAUGGCUACGUACAAUUGAGAACCUCAUCAAUAUUACAUCUGCAACAGAAGGUGGAAACCUCCUGGUGUGCACAAGGAAUCCAUUUAGUCCUUCAGACAAGAUCUCCAGGCAGAACACCUGGCCUCUUGGUCCAUCUUUGAGGUGCUCUGGUGGAAACCCAGAGGCAGCCAAAGAGCUCCCUGUGACCCCAUAUCCACACAGGAGCUCCUGUGAGCCACACUGGGGUGGUGCUGACAGCAAUUCACUGAGGGCUUCGUGACCUGAUUUUAAACGGCUGCAAUGAAUUGCUUUUGCCUUGAAUUUUAAACCAUUUAUUCUGGGAGGGCAGAACACUUCUAUGAUGCAGCAUCACGCUGAAUGCAGGAUGAGCAGAUGACAGGAUACCUGGUGUGUUUUUGGGAGAUGGCCCCUGAGUCCUUGGGGAUGCAGGCUGCAUCUGUGAGCAAUUCCUGGGCUGUGCUUUUUGGGCUUUGCAGCCCUGCUGCUGUGGGGAUGGACCUGGGGUGAUGUUUUGCAGCACAGUGGCAGCACCAGAACUGCUUCAAAAUAAAGGCACCAGCUACAAUUCUGACAAAUGUACCCUCCCAAGUGGAGCCUCAGGGCUGGGAAGGGCACUCAGCUCAUCUCAGGCACUUACCAGUCAGGUAUGUAAGACAGAAAGUAUUUACCUCAGGGGAAAAUCACAGCAUUUUCACCUGAUUAUAUGGAUUUUACUUGCCAGUCAAGGCUCUUAUAGCUGAGAGAGGUGUGAGACUGCUAUCGAAAACAGCUUGGACAUCCAAACAAAUGUUCUUCCCAGCUUGCAGAAAUGUUAGUAGUUGUCCUGUCGAUUGGAGGCUUUUUGGAGAAACAAUGUCACCACUUGUAUUUUGACUUUUGCCAGAGAAGGGAGCAGCCUGCCCAUCAGUCUUUUCGUGCCUCAAGAGACCUCUCCAUGACUGAGUGAUAAGAGAAAGCAAAUUGCAGAUGUUAACAGAGCUCUUAAUAUUGCAGUGGAUGGAUGCCACGUUGUGCCAUGUACCCAGCUGGAUGGAGCAUGAUGCCUUUCCAUGUACACUUGUCCAUUGAGGAAUUGUGCAGCUCACAGAUCACUGUUUGAUUUCUCUGCCUCCUGCUGCCCACAAUCUGCCUCCUGCACACCUGUUGGAUGGCAUUACACCCUCAGCAGCCAGGAGUGGGUGUCAGUGGGUCAGUGGGCUGUGCUGGCUCUGUGCUCACCCCUGAGUACAGCCUGCAGCAGUGAGGGGUAAAUGAUUAACCUGCAUCUGUUCUGCUUUUUGCACUGACACUCUGGGCUUGCCUUCAUUUCACAGCCACUGAAUAGGGAAGCUGCCAUUGAAGCCAGCCAGCUCUCCUUGGGUCUACAUCCUGAAAAUCAGUGUCAGCACAGCUGAACCCUAAAACAACAAGAUUUCUGCUUUAAUGCUGUUGUGACAAAUGCUAACAGCCAUAACCACGUGGGAGGACAUGAAUUUGUGCUCUCUUUUUGAUGCAAUCACUUGUAAUUAUGUUGACUAAACUUUUCAUUUAGUAUAUAUUUUUUAAAAAGGCCACGUCAUGAAGUGGUUUUGCCUUGUCCACACAAGCUAACAAAUCAAAUUGUUUCCUCUUUUCUUGUAGAAGGAGGGAAUUCCAUAACACUGUCUCUGUCCUGUGCCUUGCACUGAGUCUCUUUUGCCUAUUUUUGUCACAUUCUUGACCAAAUACUGGGUUUGAUUUUGACCCAGAUCUGUAUAAAUUACUGUAGCAAUAGGGUUGGAAUUCAUGCACAAAUGUACUGAGCAAAGGACAAACCUAUGGUCACAAAAUGAGCUGUGAUGAAACCAGGGAAACAAAUGACCCUGACAAGGACAAUGCACAAGAAAAUGGUGAUAAUGUUUUAUGGCACAGAGCAGAGCUGGGCUUUUUGCCCUCCAAACUUCAGCACAUAAACUCUCACAUGCUCCAUUGCUAAAGCACCUGUUGCCCUGAUGGCUUGGGGAUGGCCGAACCUUUGCCCAUGUGCAGUAAUGCCAGCAUGCUGGCUCGUGCUUUGGGAAUGGCUGGACUCUCAAAAAAAAGAGGAAGUGUUAAUUUGGAGUGGCAAUUUGGCUCCUCUAACCCCCAUUCUGUGUUGUCAGACAAGGCAGCAGAUAACAAAAUGGGCACUUUUCUGCCAGAGACACACAGAUCCAAAAUCACUGAGCUUCUUCAUGUUUGUGAAAGAUUAAUGUAAAAAUUAAUGAGGGUUUAAUGUAAGUAAGGAAUGGAAAUGACUUAGCCCCAAGAUCAUGAAGUUUCUGCAGAGCAGAAUUGCUGAAUGACUUAGCAGAGGACUAAAUAAUGGCCCUAAUCUCAUGCACAGCUGUGAAAGCACUUCUCUCUGUUUAUUUAUAAUGAAAACUCACAUAAAUGUGUGUGCAGAUCACUGCUGUGCAAACUUUUUUCCCCUCCCAUGUAGAACUUUUGUGUUCUCUCAUGAGAAACCAUCACUGAAGGGCAGUCCUGGCUGAGCCAGGUACUCCAAGGUGGCCAAAACCCCAGGCUGGGCACUCACACCAGCUGAGGAUCCUGGCAGGAGCAGCUGGCAUGCACUGGGAGGGCACGGCCAAACCAGUUUUGCUGGCUGCUGCUGCUCUGGAGGGUUUCAGUUGUGUAAUCUCCAAUGCUUUGGGGUCAGCCUGUGCAGAUUCUCCAGCUGCCACGACAGGGCUACUUUGCCUCCCUUCCCCAUGAGCCAGCAGUGGGGAGCAGAGCAGCUCCCCAGACAAAGCCCCUGGCUACAAGCAGAGUAUUGUGCCUCAGCUUUGGCAGAGUGGGCUGGGGCUGCAGUAAAGGCUGCCUCUUCCAUGUGUGAAUGGUGCUGAGAGCCGCUGGGUCGUGCAGCAUGCCCUGGAUGACGAAUUGUCAGAGCAGGCUGAGAGCAGCAGCCCCAGCCUGAGCACAGCCAGUGCUGCAGCCGAGCCCUCGGGGUGUCAAGGCAAAGGGGAGCCUGCCCCAUGCUAAUUAAAACUCUUCUCUCAACUUCUCCUUGGCAAAGUGCAAAGAAAUCCUCUUUUCAUGCCCGGCGACUAAAAAUAAAUCCUAUUUUGGGUUUCAGAAGCAGCCGCAUGACUAAAUGAGCCCUUCAGUUUCAUUCAUGUUUGCUGUCUAUUAAUCUGUUCUCCUCACCCUCAGCAGGGUAUGACUCAGGGCUUCACAUUGUCUUCCUCCCUGAACUAUCUGUGUUUUGACUUUAAAUUCUGCUGUCUGACGCAAAGCAGUGCUGAAAUCAUGACAGUUUGAUCCAGCCAGCUCCCAGGAGACUCCUGAUCUUUACUGGCUGGUAAAUGUAGCACUCAGAACAGCUAUGCAGAGCAGAUAUCGAUAUUUUUACACCAAAUGUUGGUAAGCAGAUGUCACAGGCUCGUGAAAAGCCUUGAAACUCCAUGGGAGAAAAGAUGUGAGUAUGUGUGUGGGAGGCCUGGAGACAAAAAUAAUUCUGUGCUUCUAUGAGAAGGCAUAUAUUCCUUAAUCCGUUGGUGUUUGCUAUUCCUGUGCAGGGGACUCAAAGUGGAGGCUGCUAUACUGGAACAAGUGGAGCAGCAAACUCUUUCCCUGUUGGUUCAUCUGAUGCUUUUGCUGCUUUUCCAGCCCAGGCUCUGCCCUCUGGCCCUGGCUGAGCUGAUGGAUCCCAUGAGCGGGGGAUCUCUCCUAUGGGGUGGAGAGAUUAUCCUGAAAUUCAGGCAUCCCAUAGCAAGUGUGGGACACUGGGCAGGUAAUAGC